RNAcentral lists this ribosomal RNA (253 nucleotides) under uncultured bacterium. Its description in RNAcentral is "partial 16S ribosomal RNA". It matches the Rfam family "Bacterial small subunit ribosomal RNA", at positions 524 to 776 of the family's 1533-position model. The record is from RNAcentral.
UACGUAGGGGGCAAGCGUUGUCCGGAUUUAUUGGGCGUAAAGAGCGUGUAGGCGGCCUGACAAGUCUGCUGUGAAAACUUGAGGCUCAACCUCGAGAUGUCGGCGGAAACUGUCUGGCUAGAGUCCGGAAGAGGAGAGUGGAAUUCCUGGUGUAGCGGUGAAAUGCGCAGAUAUCAGGAAGAACACCUAUGGCGAAGGCAGCUCUCUGGGACGGUACUGACGCUGAGACGCGAAAGCGUGGGGAGCGAACAGG